Molecule: ribosomal RNA, 492 nt
Filed under: uncultured bacterium
Lineage: Bacteria
Description: partial 16S ribosomal RNA
Rfam family: Bacterial small subunit ribosomal RNA
Source: RNAcentral
AGUGAACGCUGGCGGUAGGCCUAACACAUGCAAGUCGAACGGCAGCACAGUAAGCGCUUGCCCUUACGGGUGGCGAGUGGCGGACGGGUGAGGAAUACAUCGGAAUCUACUUUUUCGUGGGGGACUACGUAGGGCAACUUACGCUAAUACCGCAUACGACCUACGGGUGAAAUCAGGGGAUCUUCGGACCUUGCGCGACUGAAUGAGCUGAUGUCGGAUUAGCUAGUUGGCGGGGUAAAGGCCCACCAAGGCGACGAUCCGUAGCUGGUCUGAGAGGAUGAUCAGCCACACUGGAACUGAGACACGGUCCAGACUCCAACGGGAGGCAGCAGUGGGGAAUAUUGGACAAUGGGCGCAAGCCUGAUCCAGCCAUACCGCGUGGGUGAAGAAGGCCUUCGGGUUGUAAAGCCCUUUUGUUGGGAAAGAAAAGCAGCAGGUUAAUACCCCGCUGUUCUGACGGUACCCAAAGAAUAAGCACCGGCUAACUUCGUG